RNAcentral lists this long non-coding RNA (623 nucleotides) under Oryza brachyantha (malo sina). Its description in RNAcentral is "long non-coding RNA (OBRA_LNC001234)". The record is from RNAcentral. Lineage: Eukaryota; Viridiplantae; Streptophyta; Magnoliopsida; Poales; Poaceae.
AAGCGGAAAGCAAGAUUGAAUUUUCAGCAACGUAGAUCCUGGUGUUCAGUCUUUUGGGAACGUGAGAUGAACAGGAGAAGGGUCAUGACUCAUCAGUAACAGCUUCAGUCUACUUAGAAUACAGAAUGGAGAAUCCUAGUGAACGCAAAGCUCAAUACACAGCUUAGUGUCUAUUUAGAAAUUAGAAUACAAGAAUGGAGAAUUUAUGAGCAGUUUAUUCUGAUUAACAAAAUUCGUUUGCUGUAGACGAGAGCAGUCAGUGAGGAUCCCUGCAACUAUGCACAAACGCUGAAAUCAUGUAGUGAUAUACUAGAUGAUGUGGUACAACGGAAGCAAGCUAAGAUUUGUAAUAUAUGUUUCCUAGAGAUUAAUACUCCGUAUUAGACUACACCAAACUAAUCUACUUACAAACAUGAUCCGAAAAUCUGAGUUCUGACAUCUAUAUAUGUACAUUUCAUCUGAAAAACAAGAGUGAUGACAGUUUAGCACUCAGGAGGACAGAGCGCGAACAAGCCAGUGAAGCCAUACCAGUGGCAGAAGAAAAACAAACUAUGUAAAAAAUACCACACGUCACGGCGCCAUCCUUCCAAGAUCAACCCGCGUGGCGUCAUGCCGUGGCGNNN